GACGAACGCUGGCGGCGUGCUUAACACAUGCAAGUCGAACGGAAAGGCCCGGCUUUUGUGGGGUGCUCGAGUUGCGAACUGGUGAGUAACACUUGAGUAACCUGCCCUUGACUGUAGGAUAACUUCAGAAAACUUGGGCUAAUACCGCCUAGGAGCUCCUGCUUCAUGGUGGGGGCUGGAUAGUUUCGGCGGUUGGGGAUGGACUCGCGGCUUAUCAGCUUGUUGGUGGGGUAGUGGCUUACCAAGGCUUGGAGGGGUGGCCGGCCUGAGAGGGUGACCGGCCACACUGGGCCUGGGAUGAGGCACAGCCUAGUCCGGGAGGGAGCGGUGGGGAAUAUUGCAUAAGGGGCGGAAGCAUGAUGUAGCAAAGCCGUGUGGGGGAUGAGGGGAUUGGGGUUGUAAAGUGCUUUCGUUUGUGACGAAGCGUGAGUGACGGUACCGGGUAAAGAAGCACCGGCUAACUACGUG
RNAcentral lists this ribosomal RNA (468 nucleotides) under uncultured bacterium. RNAcentral's name for it is "partial 16S ribosomal RNA". It matches the Rfam family "Bacterial small subunit ribosomal RNA", at positions 28 to 507 of the family's 1533-position model. The record is from RNAcentral.